Molecule: ribosomal RNA, 459 nt
Filed under: uncultured bacterium
Lineage: Bacteria
Description: partial 16S ribosomal RNA
Rfam family: Bacterial small subunit ribosomal RNA
Source: RNAcentral
CUACGGGUUGCUCCAGUGAGGAAUAUUGGUCAAUGGGCGCAAGCCUGAACCAGCCAUGCCGCGUGAAGGAUGAAGGCCUUAUGGGUUGUAAACUUCUUUUAUACGGGAAUAAACUUAGCUAUGUAUAGCUAACUGCAGGUACCGUAAGAAUAAGCACCGGCUAACUCCGUGCCAGCAGCCGCGGUAAUACGGAGGGUGCAAGCGUUAUCCGGAUUUAUUGGGUUUAAAGGGUCCGCAGGCGGACUAAUAAGUCAGUGGUGAAAUCUCUCGGCUCAACCGAGAAACUGCCAUUGACACUGUUAGUCUAGAGUGUAGUUGGCGUAGGCGGAAUGUAUCAUGUAGCGGUGAAAUGCUUAGAUAUGAUACAGAACACCGAUCGCGAAGGCAGCUUACGAAACUACAACUGACGCUCAGGGACGAAAGCGUGGGAAGCGAACAGGAUUAGAUACCCUCGUAGUC